AUGUUGGUCCAGGCUAAGGCGGAGGAGGCGUCGUUGAUCGUCAAGGCGGGGUGCGGCCCCAAGAGGAAGGCGGAGGAGGACGGCGGCGAGGUCACCGUCAAGGCCAAGGCCAAGACGAAGGAGGAGGCGGCAGCUUUCACCACCGUCAAUGCCAAGUCGGAGGAGGACUCGGACGAAGACGUUGAGUGGGACGAUGACGAGUUCAUGGCCAGGAUCACGGCAGACCACGCCGCCCAUGUCGAGAAGAUGAAGGCUCAGUAUCCCACCAUCAAGUACGGGGACUACGACCCUAAGGUCUACUGCCACCGCCCCGACCCGGAGUCGGAUGCUUGGAAUCUCCAAAAGAAAUGCCUAGGUCUUGCUGAGAUUGCUGCCGGAUUAUUGUUUUUUUUUUGCGAAAACCGGAUUAUUGUAAUUUGA
This 420-nucleotide ribosomal RNA is filed under the name Triticum aestivum (bread wheat). RNAcentral describes it as "partial small subunit ribosomal RNA". Lineage: Eukaryota; Viridiplantae; Streptophyta; Magnoliopsida; Poales; Poaceae. The record is from RNAcentral.